AUUGAACGCUGGCGGCAGGCCUAACACAUGCAAGUCGAGCGGAUGAAGGGAGCUUGCUCCUGGAUUCAGCGGCGGACGGGUGAGUAAUGCCUAGGAAUCUGCCUGGUAGUGGGGGAUAACGUCAGGAAACGGGCGCUAAUACCGCAUACGUCCUGAGGGAGAAAGUGGGGGAUCUUCGGACCUCACGCUAUCAGAUGAGCCUAGGUCGGAUUAGCUAGUUGGUGGGGUAAAGGCCUACCAAGGCGACGAUCCGUAACUGGUCUGAGAGGAUGAUCAGUCACACUGGAACUGAGACACGGUCCAGACUCCUACGGGAGGCAGCAGUGGGGAAUAUUGGACAAAGGGCGAAAGCCUGAUCCAGCCAUGCCGCGUGUGUGAAGAAGGUCUUCGGAUUGUAAAGCACUUUAAGUUGGGAGGAGGGGCAGUAAGUUAAUACCUUGCUGUUUUGACGUUACCAACAGAAUAAGCACCGGCUAACUUCGUG
Molecule: ribosomal RNA, 484 nt
Filed under: uncultured bacterium
Lineage: Bacteria
Description: partial 16S ribosomal RNA
Rfam family: Bacterial small subunit ribosomal RNA
Source: RNAcentral